GAUGAACGCUGGCGGCGUGCCUAAUACAUGCAAGUCGAGCGAACAGACGAGGAGCUUGCUCCUCUGACGUUAGCGGCGGACGGGUGAGUAACACGUGGAUAACCUACCUAUAAGACUGGGAUAACUUCGGGAAACCGGAGCUAAUACCGGAUAAUAUAUUGAACCGCAUGGUUCAAUAGUGAAAGACGGUUUUGCUGUCACUUAUAGAUGGAUCCGCGCCGCAUUAGCUAGUUGGUAAGGUAACGGCUUACCAAGGCAACGAUGCGUAGCCGACCUGAGAGGGUGAUCGGCCACACUGGAACUUAAACACGGUCCAGACUCCUACGGGAGGCAGCAGUAUGGAAUCUUCCGCAAUGGGCGAAAGCUUGACGGAGCAACGCCGCGUGAGUUAUGAAGGUCUUCGGAUCGUAAAACUCUGUUAUUAGGGAAGAACAAAUGUGUAAGUAACUAUGCACGUCUUGACGGUACCUAAUCAGAAAGCCACGGCUAACUACGUG
Molecule: ribosomal RNA, 497 nt
Filed under: uncultured bacterium
Lineage: Bacteria
Description: partial 16S ribosomal RNA
Rfam family: Bacterial small subunit ribosomal RNA
Source: RNAcentral